This 623-nucleotide ribosomal RNA is filed under the name uncultured bacterium. Its description in RNAcentral is "bacterial SSU rRNA". It matches the Rfam family "Bacterial small subunit ribosomal RNA", at positions 28 to 646 of the family's 1533-position model. The record is from RNAcentral.
AUUGAACGCUGGCGGCAGGCCUAACACAUGCAAGUCGAGCGGAUGAAGAGAGCUUGCUCUCUAAUUUAGCGGCGGACGGGUGAGUAAUGCCUAGGAAUCUGCCUAUUAGUGGGGGACAACGUUUCGAAAGGAACGCUAAUACCGCAUACGUCCUACGGGAGAAAGCAGGGGACCUUCGGGCCUUGCGCUAAUAGAUGAGCCUAGGUCGGAUUAGCUAGUUGGUGAGGUAAUGGCUCACCAAGGCGACGAUCCGUAACUGGUCUGAGAGGAUGAUCAGUCACACUGGAACUGAGACACGGUCCAGACUCCUACGGGAGGCAGCAGUGGGGAAUAUUGGACAAUGGGCGAAAGCCUGAUCCAGCCAUGCCGCGUGUGUGAAGAAGGUCUUCGGAUUGUAAAGCACUUUAAGUUGGGAGGAAGGGCAGUAAGCAAAUACCUUGCUGUUUUGACGUUACCGACAGAAUAAGCACCGGCUAACUCUGUGCCAGCAGCCGCGGUAAUACAGAGGGUGCAAGCGUUAAUCGGAAUUACUGGGCGUAAAGCGCGCGUAGGUGGUUUGUUAAGUUGAAUGUGAAAUCCCCGGGCUCAACCUGGGAACUGCAUCCAAAACUGGCAAGCUAGAG